GUAUCAGUAGCUCAGCUGGAUAGAGCAACGGCCUUCUAAGCCGUGGGUCGCAGGUUCGAAUCCUGUCUGAUACA
This 74-nucleotide transfer RNA is filed under the name Eubacterium sp. RNAcentral's name for it is "tRNA-Arg". It matches the Rfam family "tRNA". Rfam says of the family: Transfer RNA (tRNA) molecules are approximately 80 nucleotides in length. Their secondary structure includes four short double-helical elements and three loops (D, anti-codon, and T loops). Further hydrogen bonds mediate the characteristic L-shaped molecular structure. tRNAs have two regions of fundamental functional importance: the anti-codon, which is responsible for specific mRNA codon recognition, and the 3' end, to which the tRNAs corresponding amino acid is attached (by aminoacyl-tRNA synthetases). tRNAs cope with the degeneracy of the genetic code in two manners: having more than one tRNA (with a specific anti-codon) for a particular amino acid; and 'wobble' base-pairing, i.e. permitting non-standard base-pairing at the 3rd anti-codon position. The record is from RNAcentral. Lineage: Bacteria; Bacillati; Bacillota; Clostridia; Eubacteriales; Eubacteriaceae. RNAcentral also lists the same sequence under 2 other names.